GCCUAAAGCGUCCGUAGCCGGCUCUGUAAGUUUUCGGUUAAAUCCAUAUGCUCAACAUAUGGGCCGCGGGGAAUACUGCAUAGCUAGGGAGUGGGAGAGGUAGACGGUACUCCGUAGGAAGGGGUAAAAUCCUUUGAUCUAUGGAUGACCACCUGUGGCGAAGGCGGUCUACCAGAACACGUUCGACGGUGAGGGAUGAAAGCUGGGGGAGCAAACCGGAUUAGAUACCCGGGUAGUCCCAGCUGUAAACUAUGCAAACUCAGUGAUGCAUUGGCUUGUGGCCAGUGCAGUGCCGCAGAGAAGUCGUUAAGUUUGCCGCCUGGGAAGUACGUACGCAAGUAUGAAACUUAAAGGAAUUGGCGGGGGAGCACCACAAGGGGUGAAGCCUGCGGUUCAAUUGGAGUCAACGCCAGAAAUCUUACCCGGAGAGACAGCAGGAUGAAGGUCAAGCUGAAGACUUUACCAGACAAGCUGAGAAGUGGUGCAUGGCCGUCGCCAGCUCGUGCCGUGAGGUGUCCUGUUAAGUCAGGUAACGAGCGAGAUCCUUGCCUCUAGUUGCCACCAUUACUCUCAGGAGUAGUGGGGCGAAUUAGCGGGACUGCCGUAGUUAAUACGGAGGAAGGAGAGGGCCACGGCAGGUCAGUAUGCCCCGAA
RNAcentral lists this ribosomal RNA (654 nucleotides) under uncultured archaeon. Its description in RNAcentral is "bacterial SSU rRNA". It matches the Rfam family "Archaeal small subunit ribosomal RNA", at positions 508 to 1160 of the family's 1478-position model. The record is from RNAcentral.